AAGUCGUAACAAGGUUUCCGUAGGUGAACCUGCGGAAGGAUCAUUACCGAGCAAGGGUCUUCAUGGCCCGACCUCCCACCCUUUGUCGUCGAACAAAUCUUGUUGCUUUGGCGGGACCGUCGCGUCUUAACGACCGGCUGCCGGGUCCUACGAUCGGGUAAGCUCUCGCCAGAGGUUAACUAAACUCUUCGUUAAACAUUCGUCUGAGUCAUUGACAAAAAUCAAUUAAAACUUUCAACAACGGAUCUCUUGGUUCUG
RNAcentral lists this unclassified non-coding RNA (258 nucleotides) under air metagenome. RNAcentral describes it as "partial contains small subunit ribosomal RNA, internal transcribed spacer 1, and 5.8S ribosomal RNA". The stretch from base 1 to 46 matches the Rfam family "Eukaryotic small subunit ribosomal RNA", at positions 1786 to 1831 of the family's 1831-position model. The record is from RNAcentral.